Molecule: ribosomal RNA, 497 nt
Filed under: uncultured bacterium
Lineage: Bacteria
Description: partial 16S ribosomal RNA
Rfam family: Bacterial small subunit ribosomal RNA
Source: RNAcentral
GAUGAACGCUGGCGGCGUGCCUAAUACAUGCAAGUCGAGCGAACAGACGAGGAGCUUGCUCCUCUGACGUUAGCGGCGGACGGGUGAGUAACACGUGGAUAACCUACCUAUAAGACUGGGAUAACUUCGGGAAACCGGAGCUAAUACCGGAUAAUAUAUUGAACCGCAUGGUUCAAUAGUGAAAGACGGUUUUGCUGUCACUUAUAGAUGGAUCCGCGCCGCAUUAGCUAGUUGGUAAGGUAACGGCUUACCAAGGCAACGAUGCGUAGCCGACCUGAGAGGGUGAUCGGCCACACUGGAACUGAGACACGGUCCAGACUCCUACGGGAGGCAGCAGUAGGGAAUCUUCCGCAAUGGGCGAAAGCCUGACGGAGCAACGCCGCGUGAAUGAUGAAGGUCUUCGGAUCGUAAAACUCUGUUAUUAGGGAAGAACAAAUGUGUAAGUAACUAUGCACGUCUUGACGGUACCUAAUUAGAAAGCCACGGCUAACUACGUG